GUGAUCAUACCAGUACUAAUGCACCGGAUCCCAUCAGAACUCCGCAGU
RNAcentral lists this ribosomal RNA (48 nucleotides) under Chenopodium pedunculare. Lineage: Eukaryota; Viridiplantae; Streptophyta; Magnoliopsida; Caryophyllales; Amaranthaceae. The record is from RNAcentral.